RNAcentral lists this ribosomal RNA (253 nucleotides) under uncultured bacterium. RNAcentral's name for it is "partial 16S ribosomal RNA". It matches the Rfam family "Bacterial small subunit ribosomal RNA", at positions 524 to 776 of the family's 1533-position model. The record is from RNAcentral.
UACAGAGGGUGCAAGCGUUGCUCGGAUUUACUGGGCGUAAAGCGUGCGCAGACGGCUGAGCAAGUUGGACGUGAAAGCCUGGGGCUCAACCCCAGAAUUGCGUUCAAAACUACUCGGCUCGAGUAUGGGAGAGGGAAGUGGAAUUCCUGGUGUAGAGGUGAAAUUCGUAGAUAUCAGGAGGAACACCAGCGGCGAAGGCGGCUUCCUGGCCCAUUACUGACGUUCAGGCACGAAAGCGUGGGGAGCAAACAGG